This 301-nucleotide ribosomal RNA is filed under the name uncultured bacterium. RNAcentral's name for it is "partial 16S ribosomal RNA". It matches the Rfam family "Bacterial small subunit ribosomal RNA", at positions 509 to 809 of the family's 1533-position model. The record is from RNAcentral.
CAGCCGCCGCGGGAAUACGUAGGUGGCAAGCGUUGUCCGGAAUUAUUGGGCGUAAAGGGCUCGCAGGCGGUUUCUUAAGUCUGAUGUGAAAGCCCCCGGCUCAACCGGGGAGGGUCAUUGGAAGCUGGGAAACUUGAGUGCAGAAGAGGAGAGUGGAAUUCCACGUGUAGCGGUGAAAUGCGUAGAGAUGUGGAGGAACACCAGUGGCGAAGGCGACUCUCUGGUCUGUAACUGACGCUGAGGAGCGAAAGCGUGGGGAGCGAACAGGAUUAGAUACCCCUGUAGUCCCUGUCUCUGAUAC